Molecule: long non-coding RNA, 376 nt
Filed under: Homarus americanus (American lobster)
Lineage: Eukaryota; Metazoa; Arthropoda; Malacostraca; Decapoda; Nephropidae
Description: uncharacterized LOC121854020, transcript variant X3
Source: RNAcentral
AUGACCAUUCUAUCCAAUUCUUGCAUAUCCCUGGUCCUUCCACUUCUAACUCGGGGCAUUGUACUUUCGGACAUGACGCCCUGCAAAGCUUUUAACUACAGGCAUCCCCCGCGUUAUGGAACCCCGGGGCAACGUUAAGGAAGCUUCAAGGACCAGCAACACAUUUCAGUAUGACCAGUACAGACUCAACCAUACACACUGUCCAGACCUAUACAGUAUAUUAUGACGGCACCAAUGACAACUGAUGAAACACAGUUGAUCUGUGGGAGAUAAGGAAACCUCAAGAGCACAAUACACAGAAGUCUUGGAAGAACUCUGAAGAAAACAGUACGAGACAUACCAAAAGGUGGGUAACUGACGUAUUUUCAUUAUCUAG